AUCAAUAUGGCAGAUUAAGUGCGUUGGAUUUAAGCUUCAUUAAUGAAUUUUUCUAUUGAUA
RNAcentral lists this transfer RNA (61 nucleotides) under Sphaerotheriidae sp. HYS-2012. RNAcentral's name for it is "tRNA-Leu". The record is from RNAcentral. Lineage: Eukaryota; Metazoa; Arthropoda; Diplopoda; Sphaerotheriida; Sphaerotheriidae.